This 319-nucleotide ribosomal RNA is filed under the name uncultured bacterium. RNAcentral's name for it is "bacterial SSU rRNA". It matches the Rfam family "Bacterial small subunit ribosomal RNA", at positions 30 to 332 of the family's 1533-position model. The record is from RNAcentral.
AUUGAACGCUGGCGGCGUGCCUAACACAUGCAAGUCGAGCGGUAACAGGUGUAGCAAUACAUGCUGACGAGCGGCGAACGGGUGAGUAAUGCUUCGGAAUCUGCCCAUGUAAUGGGGAAUAACCAGCCGAAAGGUUGGCUAAUACCGCAUACGACCCUUGCCCACAAAGGCAAAGGUGAAAGCAGGGGAUCGCAAGACCUUGCGCUAUUGGAUGAGCCGAAGUCGGAUUAGCUAGUUGGUAGGGUAACGGCCUACCAAGGCGACGAUCCGUAGCUGGUCUGAGAGGACGACCAGCCACACUGGGACUGAGACACGGCCC